UGGGAAAAUUGUGAGGAAAGUUAAUUGAUUUGUUGUUAUGGUGAGGAGGAUAUAGAGCAGCCUGUCCCUCCCCGACCACGACCAGAGAAGGAGCCGCAGUCAGUUAGUGAACAUGUCUUCUCGUGGAGGUGGGAAGAAGAAGCCGCUGAAGGCGCCCAAAAAGCAGGCUCAGGAGACAGACGAGGAUGACAAGGCUUUUGCGGAGAGGAGGAAAGAAGAGGCUAAACAACUAAAGGAGAUGCAGGCACGUGCAGCCAAGGGUGGCCCUCUGGCAACUGGUGGUAUCAAGAAGAGUGGGAAGAAGUAACAUCUACUUCAUGCACAUUUGAGAACUCGACCCCCUGCCAUUAUUUCAUUUUAACAUUUCAUCUGAGGCAUUUGUUUCACAAAAUAAAAAUAAGAAAAUA
Molecule: long non-coding RNA, 407 nt
Organism: Homarus americanus (American lobster)
Lineage: Eukaryota; Metazoa; Arthropoda; Malacostraca; Decapoda; Nephropidae
Exons: 4
Source: RefSeq, a predicted model, not a curated record